GGAGACAGUUGCUGCUGGCCAGAGAACACUGCAGCCCAACAGCCUAUUGGAAGAAGAACAUGUCAGGGAAGUAGCCACAGAUGGCCUACUGCAAGGAAACCCCAGGAGACUGUCACUGACUCCAGACCCUGAGAAGAAAGAGCCACCAGCCUUAGACCCUGAAAGCCAAGAAGAACCUCAGCCUCCUGUGCUCAAACAGGCCAAGGACAUUAGUAGCUCUGGUCCCUGUGAGGUAAUGGACACAGAGCGUGCUGCAGCGGACACAGGAGCAUCCCCCAGACACAGCCAGGACUCGCAGCACUGCAGUGUCUCUGGGGAUGAAGAGGACGAGCUGUUUAAAGGGGCAACUCUGAAGGUUCCGAGGCCCACAGCCCAGCCUGAGGAGGAGGAUGAAGAUGAGGUGAGCAUGAAGGGACGUCCGCCCCCAACCCCCCUUUUUGGAGAUGAUGAUGAUGACGAUGACAUUGGCUGGCUGGGGUGAAGACCUAGGAAGCAGGCAUGCAGGCUUCUCUCCCAGCCCUUCCCUAAGCAUGGUUUUGCACAGCCGGCCUCAGGUCUAGGUGAGCCUCAGGGUGAGGUCCUGGUGAACAUUCUGAGGACAGUGGUUCAGGUGUCUGAGCCCCCGCCUGACCUGGUGAAGAGGACCAUGAGGCUGUCUGCAGAACAGGUGUUGUAACAGCCUCAGUGAGUGGCCCUACCAUGGAGGAAGGGCUGGGAGGGUUGCCUGCAGCCAGUCACAAGCAAGCUGCCAUUUCUCCCAAGCUUUUUCUUACUCAUUCUCAAGGAGACUGGAAGCCCUCCUGCUCUCCCAGGGCUCAUCAGAGUUGCUGCGACACGAGGGUCCUCCUCAGAGAACUACGAGAUCCAUCGUGUUGGCCUAACCUGUGGCUCUGGGACAUGUAUCUUCUAUCUCUGCCUUAAAUCUUACAAAAGAGGUCAAUGGGUAUUUGGAACUAACAAGACUAAAAAUCUGUAAUAAAACUUGACUUGGGCCCUUGAGGAGAAACUG
This 1009-nucleotide long non-coding RNA is filed under the name Rattus norvegicus (Norway rat). Its description in RNAcentral is "long non-coding RNA NONRATT023293". Lineage: Eukaryota; Metazoa; Chordata; Mammalia; Rodentia; Muridae. The record is from RNAcentral.